AAUAUUAUUUGCAUAACUCUUCUGGGUCUGCAGAGAUUGAAUAUUUGCUCUGUUUUACAUAUUGCAGUAAUGCCAACACACUUUAACGUUUUUAAUCGUUAUUUCUAGAUGGUUGCCUACCCGAACAGAGUUGACGCGAGGUUACAUGGGCUCAGGUGAAGAUGAUUAUUUUAGCAAUUGAGAUUCUGCACAUCACAGUGGUCUAGACUACAGUGGACAGACCGAGAAAAACAUAAUUAACAGGCUGAAAAAAUAUCCCUGUGGACAAGACUAAAAUUUCAUUGGUUAUACAGAAAGAAGCCUUUUUCCAUGUGACAGUGGAGUUUCUAGCAAUAAAAGCCCUCGCGCUUCUACGGCAGUGGUCACAACACAGAAAGAGGAGGAGGAGAAAAACUAAAAAAAAAACCCUGAAGGAUGGUUCACAAAAAAAAAAUCUAAAGAAACCACAGGGAAUUCCUUUUUUUAAGAUCAGCAGAAAGCAAGCCAUCUGUGGUAAGGUUGUUUUUGGCUUCUAUAUUCUUUUGCAGUUUAUUUCUUCCACCUACUUUGUUGUCUAAUUGUAGCUCCCUCCGCCAACUGGAAGAUUGAUGGGUGUGGAAAUCACCUAACUUCUUCCUUGCUUAAGUCGGAUGAGGGUGGCACUCAUGUAAAUAUGCAAAUAGGGGCGGCUGAGCUGCGUUGUUGACACGUGUAUGUGUUGUGUGCUUCUCCCCACCUCCCCGUCUUAGCGUCUGAUCUUCAGCACAUUGGUGUUGUUUCUUGUGAUCAGCAGCACUGCGUGCUGGAAAGGGGAAUGUGGAGGGAAGGGGGGGA
Long non-coding RNA from Spea bombifrons (plains spadefoot toad), 813 nucleotides. RefSeq lists it as uncharacterized. The record is from RefSeq and is a predicted model, not a curated record. NCBI's taxonomy places the organism in Eukaryota, Metazoa, Chordata, Amphibia, Anura, Pelobatidae. The transcript has 3 exons.